Molecule: long non-coding RNA, 7696 nt
Organism: Alligator mississippiensis (American alligator)
Lineage: Eukaryota; Metazoa; Chordata; Crocodylia; Alligatoridae
Exons: 3
Source: RefSeq, a predicted model, not a curated record
UGGCCGAAUUGCUGAUUCUCUGAAUCAGAAUUGAAUCUUUAGAUUUGGAUUCAGUCGAAUCAAAUCGGGACAGUGAUCCAAAUCAACUAAUCAAAUCACUGUCCCACAAAUCAGGCUGAAUCUGAAUCAAAUACGGCCUGCCUCGCACACCAGUAAUAACUACAUCUUAGCACUGCAGGACUUCACUUAUCCAACGAAAGAGAGUUCCUUUUCCUCUCUAAAUACAUUUACCUUCCUCAGAGAUUAAUUUUAUAGGGUCAAACUCUGGAAUCUUUGUAGACAGCAGUUCCCUUUUCAGUAUUGAUGAAUUACAAACUUUCUUAUUCUGUCCUCAGUACAGUGACUGCAGCUAAGGCUAAUGGGCACUGUACUGUGCUUCUUUCUAGCAUACUGAUGGCAUGCUCAUGAAAGAAUUAGAGAUGGAAUUUGGUCAGUCAUUAUUUAUUUCCAGAGCUGGUCAAAAAUUGGAGGAAGAAAAAGGUAGAUUUGGGUUAACUGAAACAUGCUUCAGUGAUUUCACCCAAUAGUUUCAGUCCAAAGAGCAAAAUACCAAAAAAAGGUUCUGACUUCUUCAGAAUCUAGCAUUUGGAUAUUUAUAGUUUUUCAAAAUAGCUGUUAAACUAAAAAAAAAAAAAAGCUAUUUGCUUUUCUCUACUGCUGAUUAUACCUGGAGAUUUUUUUUAAUAAAACUUUCCCUACAUAUAUUGCAUACAUAAUUUUCUGACACACAAAUAUUGGACACAAUAAAAAAAGUUAAAGUUCCAACCCUUUUUUUCUACUUUCAGUCACAGAACUCUGAUUUGUGCAUCUUUUCCUUUGUAUCAGUCUCUAUUGAUCACUGUGAAGUCUAGUGCCCAUUGGGUACGCCAUACUCUUCCCUUUAGCAUUCUGUUCUAAUAUCCGGAACAGAUGGUCCCAAGAAAAGCACCUGAAUUCAAGGUAAAAAAUCAGCAAGUAUAAAAUAUGAAUUAAGCCCUUAAUAUAAAGAACUUGAUACAAUAUUUUUAGAAUUCAAAAACCUUUCUGCCCAUUGUAGACAACUCACUCUCCCUCACUAUAGCACUCUGACAUCUCCAGAGUCCUGAAGAGCACAGAAUAGGAACAUUUAUAGUUUCUUCUUCCUUUGUUUUUAAAGUGCAUGACACACACGCUUCAGCUGAAGCAGAUCAGUAGCCCCAUCAAAGUGACCAGAAAUACUUGUUGUAUCUUUAAGAAGCUGUAUUAUUUCAGAUCACAGUCAAAUCUACCCACUGGACAUCAGAAAGAUAAUAAGGACAGGAUAGGGCAGUCAAGACUCUCAUCAAGAAUUAUUUUAGAGUUAUUUGGAUUUCUCCCAUGUAAGCAUGGUACAUUGCCAUUUCCAGUGAUUUAAUCAGUAUCAGAACAACAUAUCAACGUGAGCAGUAAUGUUAUACCGGUUAUCCAUCCUUCCCUUUCACCUUUUUCUUUUCUGUAUUCAGUUCCAUCUAUCCCUUUUCAACAGUACUUGAUAGUGUAGGAUGAUUAUCCAGGUCUCCCUUUCCAUAGGGCUGGAUCUCCCCCAGUCUAUCUGUGCACCAUUUACCAUCCACCUUACACAAAUAGCUUGGUGGGAUAAGUGAUCAUCAGUCUUUCCUUGUACACAAAUCAAUCUAUGCAUCUAAAAAAAUCCUUUGUGGAAAAAGGCCAUUCCCUUAUUACAAAAUAAGGAAGCAAAGAGAUUCAAUUAUAUCUUUACCUUAAUAAUCCCUCUUUCUUUCACCUCAUAAGAAAACUUUAAUAUUUUGCUUCCAUUUUAUACAACUCCACUUGCUGCAGUGAAUUAAUUUUGUCCAAGAGCAAAACACCAUUUCCUGCAGUUUUUCUAGUCUCCCAUAUACACACUUCACAAAAUUAGUUCAGGAAGUAAACUCAUUUCCACCUUUUCUCCUAUGAUAAAGGCUGGAUCAGGGUUGAGGUUUUGAUGCAAAAAAAUGGUUUUCAUUAUACAUAUACCACAUAGUUUUAAAAAUAAGAAGGAACCUUGCUACUUACCUCUCCUGUUGUUUUCUCCAUGAUCCUACACAUCUCCAUGCUGGACAUGAUAACAGGAACAUAAGCCAUGCUUCACAAUCUCAGAGCAGAAAUCUGCCAUCCACAACUGGAAAGGAAAAGAACAAAGGCCUGCCAAAUAGCUCUGCAAGCACCAGUUGGGAGGAAAUUAGAGAACUCAUCACUGAGAGCAGGCUGAUCUGUCCUUCAGCAAUCCUCCCACUUUCUUUGAAGGAACAGCUGUUCCUUCCUAGGCUGACAGAUACUGUGGGGAGAAGGCAGAAAUAGCUUCCUCCUGCAGAACCAUCUUUCAGGGUAUGAAUUCUUCCUCCUUUUGACAUCAAUUAUAUCAGAAGCAAGAGGAAGGACUUUGCUGGCUGAACUGUGAAAGGAGGCUCUGCACCAAUUCAAAGCAAGAACUUCCCAAGAAGACUUAUAGGGGUGACGAGAAGAGAAUAUUUACAUCUACAAAGAUCUGGAAAUUUAUGGGGCAAGGCAGAGAAGCUCCUUCCUGCAAAAGUCCUUGCGCAGCUAUGUGGAAGACCCAAGCGAUGACAGAAGCCAGCAGCAUGCAGAGAAUCUUUUCCUGAGCAAUGCCCUCCCCUUUGUCCUUCAAAUGUCCACCUCCAUGUUGGCCUUUAAUUUGCUAAGGCAAAGUAAGGAAGGAAGGAAGCUACUCUCUCAUCUGUAAGACAGGGCAUGACAAAUGCCCUGCUCUGACACAAAGACAUACAAAAAACUAGAACUCUUGGUUCCAAAAUGAUACCUUUUAUUAGACCAACUGGAAAACGGCAAGAAAACUCCUUUUCUGCAACCUUUCGGGAUCAAAGUCCCUUCGUCAGGCUCUGGGAAAAGUGUAGAUGGUACAAGAUGGUAAUAAGUCCCCAUAGGUCGGAAAUAAACUUAAAGGUAUCAUUUUGGAACCAAGAGUUCUAGUUUUUUGUACGUCUUUUUGUCUCAGACCAACACGGCUACCAGUACACCCCUACUCUGACACAGACUACAGUAAGUCAGCAGAAAGCAACUCUAGCUUCAAUAUACAUAAAAAGCUCAGCUCACCAAGCCCAUGAAGACUACAAGAUUACUCAAUUCCAAGUAAAGGUCAUUUUGCUUUACAGUUUCCCAAAAGUUACUGCCAUUUUUUGUUCUGGGCAACAAUUCUGACAUACUUUAAAUGUUGCUACUGUAAGUCCUUGUUUUGGCACCCAUGGAAAAGUAAAAGUUUUGUAAGUGCAUACAAAUUACCUUAUUAGUUCCAGCUGUGCAAGUUCCUGAUUUGCUUGAAAUAUUGGCUUUUUAGUAAAAAGCUCACCUAGGAUGCAUCUGUAAAAUAAAGGUUUACAUAAUUCCAUCAAUAUAACUGUUAGGAUCAGAGAGUUUCACUUUUGGUUCAUGGCUUACACUUCAUCUACUUUUGCAUUAAAAAUUCUUACCCACAGCUCCAUACAUCAAUAGCUGGUGUAUAUCUUUCCUCUCCAAGCAGUAGUUCAGGAGGCCGGUACCAUAAUGUAAUAACUUUGUUGGUAUAUGGUCGACUGGGGAAAAAAAGAGAGUUCAAACUUUAACUAUAGCCUCAAUGCAAGAAAAACAACAGUCUAGAUUUCUAAAAAAAUAAGUGAGAAAAGUAAAAUGUUCCACUUUCUGUAAUGUCCCUGUUACUAGUUUAAGUCCACCAUCAUCGCCGUCAUACAAAAAUAAACAAAAAGCUGCCUAAAUGAGUCUACCAAAAUACAGCCUGAAACAAUACCUCCUAAUCAUGAAAGACCAUCACCCACUUCGAUGCGACAAUAAAUCUAAAGGUUAACAAUAUUUAGUUAGCCUCUUUAGUUUUACCACACUCAGUUCUUCUCAGAUCCUCCUGGAUUUCAAGGUUAUUAACUGUAGCACUACCAGAUCUUCAAAACCAGCUCCCCAAGAAACCCACUAGAAUUCUACCAGACUGAAAACUGAAGGGUAUAUUAAAAUGACUAAAGAUAACAAUACAGCACCUUUUUCUUCUGUAUCUAAUGCUAUAAGAGUUUUUACUUUUGUCUUUACUUAGGAACCACAGAAGGAUUUCCGGUGUAAUACAGAAUUCAGUUGCUCAGGGCAUGUGGUAAUCAAUUCUGAUCUUCCUUCACUAAUUCCUUCAUCAAUAUUUUUUUUUAAUUAUGGAUGCUAACCUUAGAUUAUGUUUAACACCGUUUUAGAGCUCAGAUUCCAGUAUUUUACCAUGUGGACAGCACUGAUUUCAGCAUUGAAGAUAGCGAAUAUUCAGUAGGAAUUGCCUAUUUCAGCUUUCCUACUAUACAUUCUGGACCUCUGCAAAGUCCUAUUUCAGGUUGAAUAAAUUAUGCUCUGUUAGUGACAACAAUCAAGUUCAAACCACAAAUCCAUACAGGUACAAAGGAAUGCAUUUGAAUAACCUAAGUAUACUUCAAAUUAAACAAGAAUAUUGCAUGGUGCUGGCCAAGAUUGCCAGCUCCAAGAGGUUUCUAGGAAAACAACCUUUCUUAGGCUAAUGUUCUGCAUGGCUGCUACCACAAUAGUUACCUGCAGGGCAAAUGUCUCCUGAUAAGACACUGACCUACAAUGAGGACUUCAGUAUCAACUAAAAGGAGCGAUGCCCAUGCACUGAAGUCAUCAGUCACCUUCUAAAAGUGUGCCACAAGCAUGGACAUUUAUGCCAAAGAAACAGAUUAAAAAAAAAAUAAAUAAAAACUUAAAUGCCACAGGAGUAAUGCCACCGACAAACGCUCUUUUAAAGCUAUAAUAGAAUCUGAUCCCAACAAUUGUGUCUCCUGCCAUGCCAGCCACACAUGCAAUUCAGGGAUCAGAGAUCAGACCCCAUUCAUGCUUGCCAGUGCAGGAGGAACACAGGCUCCCGAGCUGAAAUCUAGGUACCCCACAAUCAGCCAAAUGUCAGUUGGCACUGGAGUCUAGAACCAGUUCUGAUGUGAUUUCUGCCAGGCUGGCAAUUAGUUGAUUGGUGGCUGGAUCCAGUGAGGUCCCUAUUGGACCAACCAUCAAGCUCACAAUCUGUCAAAGCCAUACUCAAUAUUUUUUCAUAAUUUAGGGCAUGAUUUUUAAACAACCUAUCAAUACAAGGACUAGUGGUGAGUUGAGUGGAAGUCAGGUGAAUACAAACUAAUUCUAUUUUAUUAUAGACAACUCCUCCCUUUCCAUAUACAAAAAUCUAUGAAUUCACAAGCUGAGCACAGAAUUGAAAGUGCCUUUUAGAAAUACAAUUUGUAGCUUAUGUAAAAAUUCUAUUUUAAAUUGUGUUUGACAAAUGGAGAGUGUAAAUCUAGAAAUCACUGAAAAAAGUAAAACAUUCUAAAUCUCAAAUCCUUUUAAACGGCACAUAAUUAGGUCAGUAAAUCAAAUGUCAAAAUAUGGACAAGUGAAAAUUUAGAAAAGCUUAUAUAAUACAAUUGUUUAAAAGCACCCAGAAUCACUGCUAUUACUGCAGGUCAAAACCACACUCAGUAGGCACCUGACUGACGAAUCAACUGCCAAGAGCUAACCAGCUUCUUAUUAACCUUCUAAAAGUUAAUAUGCAGUUAUGUCAACCAACAUAGAUAGCUUUUAAUCUUCAUUAUGUUGAUAAAGUAAUAAUGUUGCUGUUUAGGUUUAUUCCAUCUGAAUUUUAAGUUUUGCCAUUCCCAAGCUAUAUAUUCUAUUAAUUAAGGAAGUAUUAACAAACACACCUGGUCUACACAUCAACACCAUCUGAUAAUGGCAACCACAGUAUCAAAACUUAAAGUUACACAAAAAUUAAAUAAGCCUGGCACACACUGAAUAGUACUGUGCUAGGGUUGCAUCCACCUGUCAGCUCAUUCACUUUGCAACAAGUGUCUCCAUGAAAAAACUACAUUUCCAAACAGUGGCUUGAAUUAUUCACCCUUAUUCACCCUGCAACCCUCCUUUCACAUGACAACUUGCAAAAUUGUCUUUCAGCAUCAAAUUUAUAUUCUCAACUUAAUGCAGCUAGCUAAACACAAUACACUGAAACCAACAACACUACCAUCAAAACAUGCUUGCUAGGAGUGUGCAAAACAGGCUGUAUUUGAUUCGGAUUUGGCCCGAAUUGGGUACAGAGAUUCUAUUUGUUGAUUCGGAUCACUGUCCUGAUCCAAUAUGGCCAAAUCCGAAUCUGAAGAUUCAAUGCUGAUUUGGAGAAUCAGCGAUUCGGCCAUAGACAGUUUAAAUGGUUCUUUUUACAUACUUCAAGGUACCAGCAUGGCUCAUGAACACUGCAAUGGUGGGGUGGAUGGAGCGUCCUGUAGGAGCAGGGGGGGAGGGGAAGAGGUCCCUUCCGGGUCCACUAGGGAGCAUGUGGGGGACACCCUCCCCCCACUCAGCGAUUGGCCAUGAGGGGACCCCAGGUACCCCCUCAGACCCAGGAGGCACCAGUUGCCAAGCAACUGGUGGUAGAGAGAGUGUCCCCAUGCACUCCCUGGUGGACCCUGGUGCCUCUGGUCCACUUCUGCGUUCGCUGCCAAGUGUGCUGGGAACCCCCUCCCCCUGUGCUCCCCUGGGACACUCCAUCUGCCCCAGCACCUCAGCAUUCACGAGCCACCUGGUACAUUGAGUUAUGUAGAAAAUACAUUUAAAGCUGUAUCUAUGAUCAAAUCGUCGAUUCUCUCCGAAUUGAUUUGGAAAGAUUAAAGGGCCUCCUGAUUCGAUUUGGAUUCGGAGAUCUGGCCACCGAAUUGGGCCGACUCUCCACUGAAUUGAAUCACCAACUGAAGCUUUGCAGAGCCCUAAUGCUUACCACUGGAAUCCAUAGUAAACAAUCAUGCUGUAUGGCAUCAACACCAUAGACCUCAUUUUCAAUAUCAGGUAUGCACCAAUCAAAUGUGUGUGUAUAACAUGUGUUCAAGUGUCCAAUGUGUAUUCCUUGUGAUGUAAACUACAGAUUUUUGUGAACCAGACCACACACUACCUUUCAUACAAGGUAAACUUUAAAUAAGCAUGAGACUAAGUGCAAAUCUUUAUAACAAAUUACUACUAUACCAUAUAAACUCUGCAGCUGUUUGCUUAAAUACAAACAGGAGCAGAGUUCAACUGUAACAUCAAACUCAUUUUAAAGUACUUCUUUUCACAAACUAAAGCAAAGCAAAUUUUUAUUCAAAUAAAACCAUUCCCAUAUCUGUUCUUCAAAGCUCACCAGACCUGUCUGCCCAGAGGACGAAAUUAAAAUACGCAGGUUGCAAUGGAUAAACUCAAUGCAAGCAAAAUGUUACUUUUUUCUUCCUAUUUGAACCCUUUCCUGGUGCAGAAAGACGUGGAUAAUAGUUUUUAAACUACAGAACAGAAAUAUUAUUUUAUGCAAUCAGGCAGACCAUUUAACACUGCAAUCUUUUGUUUCCAGUCAAUUUAGGUUGAAAAUAAAAGGAUUAACUGGGGUGUCACUAAUCCUUGGAGGUUUAAAGAAAGGACAUAAAACAACAAGUGAAUGCUCAAGUAAGAAGCCACCCCCCAACCAAUGGUAUUUUGAAACAAUUAGGAGGAAAAGAAACAAAAAAAACGCCAAUAUGUUUGUCAAACAUCUAAAAAGACAAAACCUUGGUAUCGCACAAACACAAUCUUCAGUUUUUAAAGCACCAUGACUACAGGUGUUCUUCAUUCUCUCCCCACUAAUCAUUUCUAUUGUACUCUGGCACUACCAACAGAAGAAUAAAAAAAAACGUUUCUCCUGGUA